RNAcentral lists this ribosomal RNA (253 nucleotides) under uncultured bacterium. Its description in RNAcentral is "partial 16S ribosomal RNA". It matches the Rfam family "Bacterial small subunit ribosomal RNA", at positions 524 to 776 of the family's 1533-position model. The record is from RNAcentral.
UACGGGGGGAGCAAGCGUUGUUCGGAUUUACUGGGCGUAAAGGGCGCGUAGGCGGCGUAACAAGUCACUUGUGAAAUCUCCGGGCUUAACCCGGAGCGGCCAAGUGAUACUGUUGUGCUAGAGUGCGGAAGGGGCUACUGGAAUUCUCGGUGUAGCGGUGAAAUGCGUAGAUAUCGAGAGGAACACCGAUGGCGAAGGCAGGUCUCUGGGCCACUACUGACGCUGAGAAGCGAAAGCAUGGGGAGCGAACAGG